GAUGAACGCUGGCGGCGUGCCUAAUACAUGCAAGUCGAGCGAACGGACGAGAAGCUUGCUUCUCUGAUGUUAGCGGCGGACGGGUGAGUAACACGUGGAUAACCUACCUAUAAGACUGGGAUAACUUCGGGAAACCGGAGCUAAUACCGGAUAAUAUUUUGAACCGCAUGGUUCAAAAGUGAAAGACGGUCUUGCUGCCACUUAUAGAUGGAUCCGCGCUGCAUUAGCUAGUUGGUAAGGUAACGGCUUACCAAGGCAACGAUGCAUAGCCGACCUGAGAGGGGGAUCGGCCACACUGGAACUGAGCCACGGUCCAGACUCCUACGGGAGGCAGCAGUAGGGAAUCUUCCGCAAUGGGCGAAAGCCUGACGGAGCGACGCCGCGUGAGUGAUGAAGGUCUUCGGAUCGUAAAACUCUGUUAUUAGGGAAGAACAUAUGUGUAAGUAACUGUGCACAUCUUGACGGUACCUAAUCAGAAAGCCACGGCUAACUACGUG
Molecule: ribosomal RNA, 497 nt
Filed under: uncultured bacterium
Lineage: Bacteria
Description: partial 16S ribosomal RNA
Rfam family: Bacterial small subunit ribosomal RNA
Source: RNAcentral